ACCUUCCACCCGAAUGCAGCUGAGAUAGACUCCAGCACCCCCGCAACCCCAAAAGGGACAACCGAUAGGAAAAUGGAUGGGUGGAUGGGUUCUAAAAUGUAGCUAUUGUGGAUUAGGGACUAAACUUAAUGAUUGUAUUGAUGUUAAAAAAUAUACUUGCUGCCAACUUUUUAAGCGACAAUGAAAGUGAAACCAUAUCUCAAAGGGGGGCAUUAAACAAAAGUGAAAGUGAAAUAGGAUUUUGGACCACUCUUGAACGACUUUCGGGUUUUUACGAACAUUUUUAACAGUUUUGUAAUUCUCUUAGCCCCUUUUUCCACGGUUGUAUGGUGUUUCACGGCAGAAGUACUUGAAGUAGUUUUUUUUUUUGGUGCCGAGUCCGGUUCGGUGGUUUACCUAAAGAUGGCCGACACGCAUUGGGAGUCCAUCCAAGCAGGCUUCAUGAAAGAGGAUGAAGAGGACAAGAUGGUGGACAUAUUACAAGAAAGAAGACAGAGUAGUGACCUGGGCCACGCCUUCAGAACCUUCAACCCCCGCCUGUACAAAGGGGCGCCACCGUGCUCUGCCGCCGACCUCAACAAGACUGUGCUGGACUCCCAGGAUGUACUGCGCGUGGUGCAAGAGGUUGCCAUGGAGACCGGUUCGUCACUGGAGGCAGUGACAGAAGAAGCCGCGGGUAUUUUAAAGGAGAUGUCACAAAACCUGCAAAUGGGUUUCAUCCGCCUGAUGGGCUUCAUGCUCAGCAAAGUGCUCAAACGCCUCUACUCCAGCAUCUAUGUCAACAUGGAAGCCCUCCACAUGGUUAAACCUGCACUACUAUCAAAGUUUCAUUUUUUCACUCCGCCAAAGUUGUUCAAAUUUUGUUCUUUGCAGCUGCAGCAGGUGGUUGCCGACACCCCUGUCGUCCUGCUGCCCAAUCACAGGAGCUACACAGACUUCCUGGUUAUCUCCUACAUCAUGUUCACCUACGACAUCCCGCUGCCUGUCAUUGCUUCUGGACUGGCUCUGGCCGGGAUGAACUUCGUAGGUGAGAUGCUGCGUCGCUCAGGAGCAUUCUACAUCCGUAGGGACAUCGCGUCUAACAGGCUGUACUGUGCAGUGCUGUCGGAGUACGUCAAAAGCCUCAUCAGAACAGGAUUUGCUCCAGUGGAGUUUUACAUCGAAGGCUACAGGAGUCGCUCUCUGAAAUCCUUGACACCAAAGCUAGGUAUGAUGCACAUGGUGCUGGAUCCCUUCCUGAAGGGUGAGGUGCCUGACAUCACCUUUGUGCCCAUCAGCAUCAGCUACGACCGGCUUCUAGAAGAAUCUCUGCUGGCUCGGGAACUGCUAGGGAUCCCCAAGCCGAAAGAGAGCACCCUGAGUCUACUGAGGGUCAGCUGGGUCCUGACGGAGGACUACGGUUGCAUGCACGUCAAAUUUGGUCGUCCCAUGUCGGCCACACAGCUGUGUCACGGCAGGACAAUGGAGCCAGAAGUGAAAGAGGAACAAGAGCAAGACAGAGAAGAAACAGCAAAAGACCGAGAAGUUCCUGAGUACCAGGUGUGGGUCAACUGGCUGACUCAUGUGAUGGUUCGCAUGCAAGAGCGGGGCUCCUUCACCAGCCCUUGGUCUCUCAUGGCCUGCCUGCUGCUCCAAGAACCCGUCUCGGUCCUGACAGACAGCGGCCUUGCCUGGCAUGGGCUUGCUGAGAGGACGCUGUGGCUCAAGAGGCUGGCGUUGGAAUUUGGGGCUCGGCUAGACUGGCCUGGACACGUCCCUGACUGGGAAGUGAUGUCAUCCGCUGUGGCUCUACACCACCCCUCUGUCCGCCUCCAGGAGCAGCGGGUCUUUCUGGUUUUGGAGGAGGCAGCAGCAGCCAGCCAGCAGCUAAUCAGCGCUGAGGACGAGGUCAACAAGAUGGCGGCGCCCAUGUUGAUGAUGGCGUCCUACCGCAAUCAGGCGCUGCAUCUGUUUGUACGGCCCGCCCUGUUGGCCACCGCGUUGAAGCUUGCAGGGCGCAGUUGCAGAGAUGAGAUCUUUGCUUCCUUCUGCUUCCUUCAGGAUGUCUUCCGGAGAGAAUUCAUCUUCAUUCCUGACAAAGCCUUGGAGGACUUUGAGGAGGCGUGCUUUCUCCUACAGCAAUGUGGCGCCUUGCAUGUCGUCGACCAACAGGAGGUGACGGCGUUAGAAGAUGGUAUGGAGGUGUUAUCCUUCCUGCGUGGGCUCCUGCAGCCUUUUAUUGACUCAUAUCAGGUCAUGUUGAGCUUCUUGUGUGAGCAGGAUGCUAACGAGAUCACAGAGAAAGACUUCCUCCCUGCAGUGAGGUGUCUGGCCUCAAGGCUCAUCCUAUCAGGUGAUCUCCACACCUAUGAGACCCUCUCGUCGGACAUGCAAAAGAACGUCCUGUCGUCCCUGAGGGGACUGGCGGCUGUGACAAAGUUGAAGGCGUGUGAGCAGAAGAAAUACAGCGUGGACAAAGAAGCAGUGAGAAGGAUCGCAGAUACACUCUCUGGGAAAAUCCGCCCCGAGAUUCUCCAGACUGAACCUGACGCAAGACUUUAGUCCUUGUUGGAAGAUGUCCAACCUCAGUAGCAGACCACAUCCUCGCUCUCACCUCAGCGUGAACCCUUACGCCUUUUGGCUUUGUUCGUCCAUCGCUGCUAGAGCUUCAAAGAUAUGGUCAGAAGAUAUCCAAGUGUUAAUGAUGAACGGUUGUGGAUGGACACACGAUGGACUCUUAGAAGAGGAGUGCCUGGCUACCCUACAGUCGAGGACAUUGAAUAUAUCUACCAAUUCGGAACUUAGAAUAAGCUUUGCCCUGGUGUAUCGACAAAUUGGAGGAUGCUGGCAGCCAUUCAAGGUGCCCUGAAGCUCUCACAUAGGAUGAAAGCAUGCGGGCUGAACUCUGAGCACUCAGACUAUUGUGAUAUUGGAUAAAUUGCAAAUUAGACAAUAUCGGACGCUGUCUGCCCUGCAGGAUGAAUUUGAGGACCAGAAAAGGACAAUUAGAGUGAAAAACUCAAAAUUGUUUUCGCUGGCUGAAACACAACUAUUCUAAUCUUUAUUUUUUUCCCUGGCUGCAAGCGACCUUGUUUCAAGAUUCCCCUCGACAGUGCAGCGAAGACAAACAAAUUCUCCUGGGCUGGGGAUCUUUCUAUGUGGAGUUUGCAUGCACCUGAGGAUAGGUUGAUUGGCAACACUAAAUUGGCCCUAGUAUGUGAAUGUGAGUGUGAAUGUUGUCUGUCUAUCUGUGUUGGUCUUGCGAUGAAGUGGCGACUUGUCCAGGGUGUACCCCGCCUUCCGCCUGUGUGCAGCUGGGAUAGGCUCCAGCACCCCUCUCGGUCCCAUGAGGGACAAGCGGUAGAAAAUGGAUGGAUAGAUAAUGUCAAAUCAGCACAAAAACCUGGGACCUCGGGUACUAAGUUUCGUGCCAUCUCAUGUGGGCUGGUAUAACAACAAUGUUCCUCGAAUCUUGAAUCCAUUUAUCCAUCUUCUACCGCUUGUCCCUUCUGGGGUCGUGGGUGGUGUUGGAGCCUAUAUCAGCCAAAUUCGGGCGGGAGACAGUGUACACGCUGGACAAGUCACCACCUCAUCGCAGGGCUGAAUCUUGAAUCAUUUCAGAUUAUUAGUAGUAUUACUAAAACUACUAGUUCAUGUACAGAGGUAUUUUUUAAAUCUACUGUAUAUAGUAGUGUACCUUAAACGACAACCUGUAUCAGUCUAUUUUUAGCCAAUCGGAAGCCUGAAAAGUCCUCACAGACAAUGAUACCUUUUGUUCAAUAGUUUGUGUAGCUCAAUAAUGUAAUGUAAUGCAAAGAAAACAUCCAAAAUUAUAAAGCAUGCUUGAGACAUUUAUUAGAUUUUAAACUUCUUAACAUACCAAUAAAUGUAAAACAAGCGUAACAAAAUGCACCAUAGAUUUCCUUUUGAUCUUCUUCGCUUUCAACAACAGUGAGUGAGGAGCAGAGGUCAAAGUUCAACUUGCCGUCGCCUCACCGCCAAUCAAACAAGCACACUGCAGUUAAAAGGCCUCUUUGAGCGCCUGGACGGACACAACAUUAGGUACAACUGCACCCAGUCUAAAACAACAAUGGCUGCCUUUACCAAGAUCAUCUCAAUAAUUAUACUCACUUUUAGUCAUUUUUGUGACUUAUUUGACAGCAGAAUAUUUCCCACUAUACAGUAAACGUUGCCUUGGUGGAAGUCCACGCUCCAAUUUAACGACAUUCCGUGUUAAGAAUGUUUAUUAGGGAUUUAGUUUGCGCUAAUUGUUGAAUUGCCCUUUUCUCACAAAUAAGUCCAUUAUUUUCAGUCCAACUUUAACCUUUACAUCUUAAGACCAUAAAUAAUGUUUAAAAAAAAGAGGUGUUUGUGUCAGCUCACUCUUCGACUCUUGUACCGCAGCACACAAAAAUAGUGAAAAUCUUCCCUGCUUGGCACUCAGCAUCAAGGGUUGGAAUUGGGGGUUAAAUCACGAAAGAAUGAUUCCCGGGUGCGGCCACCGCUGCUGCUCACUGCUCCCCUCACUUCCCAGAGUGUGUGAUCAAGGGUGAUGGGUCAAAAACAGAGAAUAAUUUCACCACACCUAGUGUGUGUGUGACAAUCAUGGGUACUUUAACUUUUAAAUUUAACUUUAAAAUGAGUCAAAACAUGCGCCCCUGCUGAGUUGUCUGCGCUAGUACUUUUCGGACAAUUACGCCACACUUUUAUGAAAGACCCAUACUUGAACAUUCUGACCUCUUCAAGAACACACCACUUUGUGGUGUUUAGCCGGAUCACGUUAUUUGGUACGCACAUUUUAGGGGAUUCACAAGGAACACUGUGUCUAAUAGGAGCUAUGCAUCUUAGUCACUAAACGUCCAGAAGUCAUUGAGUGUUUGUCUGAUGUCGAUAACAAUUUUGAGGAUGUUUGCUCGCGUGUAUUCCCACGUUUUUUUUUUUGUUACCAGCAACCCAUAGGGGGAGCCAAAAUCAAAAAAGUAUGUUACCUUGGAGUUCAGUAUUUAUGCUGAUGCGGUACUGAGGUGGGGUUUGUAGCUUUAGGCAACGCGAUGUCUCAUCACUGCUGGGUCGCUUGUGCUUUUGUAACCUUUAACCUUAGGUGAAGAAAGUGCAACCCGUUACCUUGAGUCCAAAAAUGAGCCCCAUGGAGUAGAGAAGUACAGAACCCAAAACCAGUGAAGUUGGGACAUUGUGUAAAUCGUAAAUAAAAACAGAAUACAAUGAUUUGCAAAUCCUUUUCAACUUAUAUUCAAUUGAAUAGACUGCAAAGACAAGAUACUUAACCUUCGAAGCGGAAAACUUUGUUAUUUUUUGCAAGUAUUAGCUCAUUUGGAAUUUGAUGCCUGCAACAUGUUUCGUGGCAAAAAAGACAGAGAAAGUUGAGGAAUGCUCAUCAAACGCUUAUUUGGAACAUCCCACAGGUGAACAGGCUAAUUGGGAACAGAUGGGUGUCAUGAUUGGGUAUAAAAGCAGCUUCCAUGAAAUGCUCAGUUAUUCACAAACAAGGAUGGGGUGAGGGUCACCACUUUGUGAACAAAUGCGUGAGCAAAUAGUCAGUUUAAGACCAACAUUUCUCAAUGAGCUAAUGCAAAGAAUUUAGGGAUUUGACCAUCUACGGUCCGUAAUAUCAUCAAAAGGUUCCGAGAAUCCGUAAAAAAUCAAUGCACAUCCUUCAGGCAGUACUGCAUCAAAAAGCGACAUCAGCCUGUAAAGGAUAUCACCACAUGGACUCAGGAACACUUCAGAAAACCACUGUCAAUGUCCUUUGUGUUCUUUGGGAUGUGUGCUAUGGUUAUGAGUUGUUUUUUCCCUUGGCCUCAGUCUGGACCCCCUGUUUACCUGUAUCUCACCUUCUUUGUAAAGGGCGCCGGAAGUUGGCAGACCCGUCAGCGAUCCUGUUCUGUCUCCCUGUAAUGUUUGUCUGAUCUUGAAUGGAAUUGUGCUGAACAUUUUGUAUUUAUAAAGUAUUUCUGAUUCUGA
RNA transcript from Nerophis ophidion (straightnose pipefish), 5961 nucleotides. It is a transcript of the gene named glyceronephosphate O-acyltransferase 2, with no coding region annotated. The transcript is spliced from 17 exons. The record is from RefSeq and is a predicted model, not a curated record. Lineage: Eukaryota; Metazoa; Chordata; Actinopteri; Syngnathiformes; Syngnathidae.